CACGUAGGCACCAAGCGUUGUCCGGAUUUAUUGGGCGUAAAGAGCUCGUAGGCGGUUCGGUAAGUCGGGUGUGAAAACUUUGGGCUCAACCCAAAGCCUGCACUCGAUACUGCUGUGACUUGAGUCCGGUAGGGGAGUGGGGAAUUCCUGGUGUAGCGGUGGAGUGCGCAGAUAUCAGGAGGAACACCGGUGGCGAAGGCGCCACUCUGGGCCGGUACUGACGCUGAGGAGCGAAAGCGUGGGGAGCGAACAGG
Molecule: ribosomal RNA, 254 nt
Filed under: uncultured bacterium
Lineage: Bacteria
Description: partial 16S ribosomal RNA
Rfam family: Bacterial small subunit ribosomal RNA
Source: RNAcentral